Molecule: ribosomal RNA, 526 nt
Filed under: uncultured bacterium
Lineage: Bacteria
Description: bacterial SSU rRNA
Rfam family: Bacterial small subunit ribosomal RNA
Source: RNAcentral
AUAAUACCUGGUAGUCCACGCCGUAAACGAUGAGUGCUAAGUGUUAGAGGGUUUCCGCCCUUUAGUGCUGCAGCUAACGCAUUAAGCACUCCGCCUGGGGAGUACGGCCGCAAGGCUGAAACUCAAAGGAAUUGACGGGGGCCCGCACAAGCGGUGGAGCAUGUGGUUUAAUUCGAAGCAACGCGAAGAACCUUACCAGGUCUUGACAUCCUCUGCCAACCCUAGAGAUAGGGCGUUCCCCUUCGGGGGACAGAGUGACAGGUGGUGCAUGGUUGUCGUCAGCUCGUGUCGUGAGAUGUUGGGUUAAGUCCCGCAACGAGCGCAACCCUUGAUCUUAGUUGCCAGCAUUCAGUUGGGCACUCUAAGGUGACUGCCGGUGACAAACCGGAGGAAGGUGGGGAUGACGUCAAAUCAUCAUGCCCCUUAUGACCUGGGCUACACACGUGCUACAAUGGAUGGUACAAAGAGCUGCGAACCCGCGAGGGUAAGCGAAUCUCAUAAAGCCAUUCUCAGUUCGGAUUGUAGG